RNAcentral lists this ribosomal RNA (459 nucleotides) under uncultured bacterium. Its description in RNAcentral is "partial 16S ribosomal RNA". It matches the Rfam family "Bacterial small subunit ribosomal RNA", at positions 338 to 795 of the family's 1533-position model. The record is from RNAcentral.
CCUACGGGCGACAGCAGUGAGGAAUAUUGGUCAAUGGCCGCAGGGCUGAACCAGCCAAGUCGCGUGAGGGAUGACGGUCCUAUGGAUUGUAAACCUCUUUUGUCAGGGAGCAAAGGGCGCCACGUGUGGCGUUUUGCGAGUACCUGAAGAAAAAGCAUCGGCUAACUCCGUGCCAGCAGCCGCGGUAAUACGGAGGAUGCGAGCGUUAUCCGGAUUUAUUGGGUUUAAAGGGUGCGCAGGCGGAGGUGCAAGUCAGCGGUCAAAUUGCGGGGCUCAACCCCGUACUGCCGUUGAAACUGCAUCCCUUGAGUGCGCGAGAAGUAUGCGGAAUGCGUGGUGUAGCGGUGAAAUGCAUAGAUAUCACGCAGAACCCCGAUUGCGAAGGCAGCCUGCCAAGCCAUGACUGACGCUGAUGCACGAAAGCGUGGGGAUCAAACAGGAUUAGAUACCCCAGUAGUC